This is a long non-coding RNA of Zalophus californianus (California sea lion), 1150 nucleotides long. RefSeq lists it as uncharacterized. The record is from RefSeq and is a predicted model, not a curated record. The transcript is spliced from 3 exons. Lineage: Eukaryota; Metazoa; Chordata; Mammalia; Carnivora; Otariidae.
GAUGGCUUGCGUUUCUUUCUGAGUCCGCCUGCCCGGGGCUGUUUGUGAAGUCAUGUGUGUGUGUGUGUGUAUGUGUGCGUGUUCAUUUACCUGUGUACUACCUGUAAAUACCGGCCGGACUCGUUAUACAGUAUCUAUUAACAUAAUUAUGAGCUAAAAGAUUACUACUGUCCAUGUACUUUCAGAAGAGAGCUGAGAGAAACCACAAGAACAUUUGCUUAGCAAAUAUUUACGCAGAGCCCGACGGCUAGGCAUUGUGCAAAACGCUGAGGGCAUGCUCUAGGCAAAAGUAGGCAGGUCGCUGCUAUUCUGAAGUUUACAGCCGGUCUGGUGGAGGACAAACGUUAAGCAAAUGGUCACCCAAACAAAAUAUAAAAUUGCGGCUCUUACAAGUUCCACGAAGGAAGGGAAUCUGUGCUGUGAAAUAUGAUUCUGGAGGCAAGGCGGGCAGGACAGUCCCCAGUAAAGCCUGUGUUGUCAUGGUAACCACAGACUCUAUCAUUGGAUACUUGAUAACUAUUUUAGAAAAAAGGUAAAAGCCUCAAUACUUCACCUUGUACAAAUAAAAGAGACUGAAGGGAAGAAACGAUGGAAACAAGAGAAGAAAGGGACCCAUGGAAAGAAAAAAAUUGAAGCAUCCGGAGACUCUCUUGCGAGCUACAUGACCUUGAGGCUGACAUCUAUGGAGCUACUAUGACACUGUAGAAGCCCUCUCUGCUUUUCUUGACAUUGCCGUUUUGGAAGAAACCAGGCCAUUCAUCUUAGAGAAAGUACCACAGUCUGGAUUUGGCCAAUGUUUUUCCUGGAGGUGCCAUUUAACCGGUUCUUCUGUCUUCCAAGUUAUCUUUAAAUUGGAAUGCUGGUCUUAAGGCUUUACUGCUUUUUAAGUUAAAUAAACAUUGUGCCAAAAAUGCCUCAAAGUCGAUGCUGUGUAGUUCAUAUUACAUCAUAUCAAAAUUUCCAUGCCCACUUCCUCUUCAAAAUACUUUGUGGUUUUGUAGGCAUCUCCAGGGUAUGGCUACACCAGUGGUUUUCCACUCUAGCUUCACUUAGAGUCAUCUGGGGAGGUUUAAAAAGUAUUUGUUCCCGACUUGCAUCCUUAGAGUUGCUUGUCACGGGCCCAUUCCACUGGAUUGUUGUGAAGCUUCCC